Molecule: long non-coding RNA, 2812 nt
Organism: Lates calcarifer (barramundi perch)
Lineage: Eukaryota; Metazoa; Chordata; Actinopteri; Centropomidae
Exons: 9
Source: RefSeq, a predicted model, not a curated record
AAGGAAGUCAGGAGAACAGAUUAAAAGCAACGUUUGAACCGGUACCUCGGUUUGUCAGUACUGUCAGAAAACAUGAUAACUAAAGAAGCCUGGAUGCUAAAGCUAGCUUUGGAGCUGCUUUUGUGUCGAACAGGAGUGAGACUGGACGCUGAAUACACUUGCGGCGCGAAGGUGUCACCACUUCGUCCACGACAUCGUCCAUAAUCGCAGAGACAUGGUCCAUGAUCGGAGAGACAUUGUUGAGGAUGAGGGAGACAUCGUCCACGAUCAGAGACGUCGUCUGUGAUCACAGAGACCUUGUCAAAGAUGAGAGAGACGUUGUCCAUGAUCAGAGACAUUGUCCCAUGCUUCGCAGAGCUCUGCGCAAGAAUCGGUAGAGACACUGUGGUUCCUCGAUUCGACGGCAUGACCGCGAUCACGGAGACAUUGUCGAUGGUCACAGAGACACCGUCUAUGAUCUCAGAGACAUCGCCCAUGAUCAUAAAGACAUUGUCCAUGAUCACAGAGACUUUGUCCAUAAUCUCAGAGACAUUGUCCGCGAUCACAGAGACGUAGUCCACGAUCACAGAGAGUCUUCAUACUAUGAGGAAGUUCUUUGAGACCAGGACAGAGGCCUCCAGGUGUCACCACUCCGUCCACGUCAUCGUCUACGAUCGCAGAGACAUGGUCCAUGAUCGGAGAGACAUUGUUGAGGAUGAGGGAGACAUCGUCCACGAUCAGAGACGUCGUCUGUGAUCGCAGAGACCUUGUCAAAGAUGAGAGAGACGUUGUCCAUGAUCAGAGACAUUGUCCCAUGCUUCGUAGAGACCUUGCGAUAGAAUCGGCGGAGACGGGGGUCACCGAUUUGACGGCACUGCCCGCGAUCAUGGAGACAUUGUUGAUGGUCACAGAGACACCGUCUAUGAUCUCAGAGACAUCGUCCACAAUCACAAAGACAUUGUCCAUGAUCACAGAGACUUUGUCCAUAAUCUCAGAGACAUUGUCCGUGAUCACAGAGACGUAGUCCACGAUCACAGAGAGUCUUUGUACAAUGAAGAAGUUCUUUGAGACCAGGACAGAGGCCUCCAGGUGUCACCACUUCGUCCACGUCAUCGUCCACGAUCAUAGAGACAUGGUCCAUGAUCGGAGAGACAUUGUUGAGGAUGAGGGAGACAUCGUCCACGAUCAGAGACAUUGUCUGUGAUCGCAGAGACCUUGUCAAAGAUGAGAGAGACGUUGUCCAUGAUCAGAGACAUUGUCCCAUGCUUCGUAGAGACCUUGCGAUAGAAUCGGCGGAGACGGGGGUCACCGAUUUGACGGCACUGCCCGCGAUCAUGGAGACAUUGUUGAUGGUCACAGAGACACCGUCUAUGAUCUCAGAGACAUCGUCCACAAUCACAAAGACAUUGUCCAUGAUCACAGAGACUUUGUCCAUAAUCUCAGAGACAUUGUCCGUGAUCACAGAGACGUAGUCCACGAUCACAGAGAGUCUUUGUACAAUGAAGAAGUUCUUUGAGACCAGGACAGAGGCCUCCAGGUGUCACCACUUCGUCCACGUCAUCGUCUACGAUCGCAGAGACAUGGUCCAUGAUCGGAGAGACAUUGUUGAGGAUGAGGGAGACAUCGUCCACGAUCAGAGACAUUGUCUAUGAUCACAGAGACUUUGUCAAAGAUGAGAGAGACGUUGUCCUUGAUCAGAGACAUUGUCCCAUGCUUCGUAGAGACCUUGCGAUAGAAUCGGCGGAGACGGGGGUCACCGAUUUGACGGCACUGCCCGCGAUCAUGGAGACAUUGUUGAUGGUCACAGAGACACCGUCUAUGAUCUCAGAGACAUCGUCCACGAUCACAAAGAUAUUGUCCAUGAUCACAGAGACUUUGUCCAUAAUCUCAGAGACAUUGUCCGUGAUCACAGAGACGUAGUCCACGAUCACAGAGUCUUUGUACAAUGAAGAAGUUCUUUGAGACCAGGACAGAGGCCUCCAGGUGUCACCACUUCGUCCACGUCAUCGUCCACGAUCGCAGAGACAUGGUCCAUGAUCAGAGAGACAUUGUUGAGGAUGAGGGAGACAUCGUCCACGAUCAGAGACAUUGUCUAUGAUCACAGAGACUUUGUCAAAGAUGAGAGAGACGUUGUCCUUGAUCAGAGACAUUGUCCCAUGCUUCGUAGAGACCUUGCGAUAGAAUCGGCGGAGACGGGGGUCACCGAUUUGACGGCACUGCCCGCGAUCAUGGAGACAUUGUUGAUGGUCACAGAGACACCGUCUAUGAUCUCAGAGACAUCGUCCACGAUCACAAAGACAUUGUCCAUGAUCACAGAGACUUUGUCCAUAAUCUCAGAGACAUUGUCCGUGAUCACAGAGACGUAGUCCACAAUCACAGAGAGUCUUCGUACAAUGAAGAUGUUCUUUGAGACCAGGACAGAGGCCUCCAGCAGGUGUCACCACUUCGUCUGCAAUCACAGAGACAUGGUCCAUGAUUGGAGAGACGUGCAACAAUUGCAGUGACGGAGUUCCUCAUACAAUGAAGGAAUUCAGGACUGAGGCCUCCAGAUGAAUCCACAGAAACAACAGGAUCCACCAAAAUGGUGAUGGAGGAGGUGGAGAAUACUCCAUGACCUGAAGAGGACAUCAAAAGUAAUAAAAUGUUCUUGAAGUUAUGUGGACAUGUGUAACUGUGACUUUGUAAGCCUCUCCUCAUAUGUGGUCAUCAGUACAUUUACUGUGGGAUGAUUGAAUAAAACAAGUGUCUCCAGGUGGUCAAACAUCUGUCAUUAUCUUUGCUGUGGUUUGCUCAGUGUUGUGUGGAACAGAAUCAAUAAAGUUUUGUAGCUUAA